AUUGAACGCUGGCGGCAGGCUUAACACAUGCAAGUCGAGCGGGGUGAUGGUGCUUGCACUAUCACUUAGCGGCGGACGGGUGAGUAAUGCUUAGGAAUCUGCCUAUUAGUGGGGGACAACAUCUCGAAAGGGAUGCUAAUACCGCAUACGUCCUACGGGAGAAAGCAGGGGAUCACUUGUGACCUUGCGCUAAUAGAUGAGCCUAAGUCGGAUUAGCUAGUUGGUGGGGUAAAGGCCUACCAAGGCGACGAUCUGUAGCGGGUCUGAGAGGAUGAUCCGCCACACUGGGACAGAGACACGGGCCAGACUCCUACGGGAGGCAGCAGUGGGGAAGAUGGGACAAUGGGGGGAACCCUGAUCCAGCCAUGCCGCGUGUGUGAAGAAGGCCUUAUGGUUGUAAAGCACUUUAAGCGAGGAGGAGGCUCUUUUGGUUAAUACCCAAGAUGAGUGGACGUUACUCGCAGAAUAAGCACCGGCUAACUCUGUGCCAGCCGCCGCGGUAA
This 503-nucleotide ribosomal RNA is filed under the name uncultured bacterium. RNAcentral's name for it is "partial 16S ribosomal RNA". It matches the Rfam family "Bacterial small subunit ribosomal RNA", at positions 30 to 523 of the family's 1533-position model. The record is from RNAcentral.